CCUACGGGAGGCAGCAGUGAGGAAUAUUGGUCAAUGGGCGGAAGCCUGAACCAGCCAAGUAGCGUGCAGGAUGACGGCCCUACGGGUUGUAAACUGCUUUUAUACGGGAAUAACGCGCCUUACGUGUAGGGCUUUGCAUGUACCGUAUGAAUAAGGACCGGCUAAUUCCGUGCCAGCAGCCGCGGUAAUACGGAAGGUCCGGGCGUUAUCCGGGUUUAUUGGGUGUAAAGGGAGCGUAGGCCGCAUGUCAAGCGUGCUGUGAAAGGUCCGGGCUCAACCCGGGCAUUGCAGCGCGAACUGGCGGGCUUGAGUCAGCGGGAGGCAGGCGGAAUUCGUGGUGUAGCGGUGAAAUGCUUAGAUAUGACGAAGAACCCCGAUUGCGAAGGCAGCUUGCUGCAGCGGAACUGACGCUGAGGCUCGAAAGCGCGGGUAUCGAACAGGAUUAGAUACCCUUGUAGUC
This 460-nucleotide ribosomal RNA is filed under the name uncultured bacterium. RNAcentral describes it as "partial 16S ribosomal RNA". It matches the Rfam family "Bacterial small subunit ribosomal RNA", at positions 338 to 795 of the family's 1533-position model. The record is from RNAcentral.